AUCCAGCUGACCACGAGUCCCAAAUAGGACAAAAUGCGCAUCCUGGAU
This is a non-coding RNA of Trichobilharzia regenti, 48 nucleotides long. The record is from Rfam. Lineage: Eukaryota; Metazoa; Platyhelminthes; Trematoda; Strigeidida; Schistosomatidae.